RNAcentral lists this long non-coding RNA (241 nucleotides) under Elaeis guineensis (African oil palm). RNAcentral describes it as "long non-coding RNA (EGUI_LNC082293)". Lineage: Eukaryota; Viridiplantae; Streptophyta; Magnoliopsida; Arecales; Arecaceae. The record is from RNAcentral.
GAGCUCUCGAUUUCAGUCAUUAUUAGGGACUGCUUUAAGUUUUUGACUUCUUCUUCUAGUUUCAUCUUUCUUAGCAGCAUUUUUCAGUACAUCUGGUGGAACCACCAACUUUCGCCCUCCGACUCUCGAAGCCUCUUCCUCAGGACCUCGGACUCCGUCUCGACAUCUUUGACCAUCUGCUGCUCGUGGGCCAGCUGAAUCUUCAGCCGCUGUAGUUCGGCCUUCUCCUACCCAAGGGCCA